RNAcentral lists this microRNA precursor (106 nucleotides) under Paramuricea clavata. Lineage: Eukaryota; Metazoa; Cnidaria; Anthozoa; Malacalcyonacea; Plexauridae. The record is from RNAcentral.
GUUCCUUAAAAAGUUCCUAACUUCCUGUUUCAUUGACCAAUCAUAUUUAAUUUUUGAGCAAUCUGAUUGGUCAAUGAAACAGGAAGUUAGGAACUUUUUAAGGAAC